This 81-nucleotide transfer RNA is filed under the name Neurospora tetrasperma FGSC 2508. Its description in RNAcentral is "tRNA-Ser (GCT) (tRNA-Ser-GCT-2-1)". It matches the Rfam family "tRNA". From Rfam's summary of the family: Transfer RNA (tRNA) molecules are approximately 80 nucleotides in length. Their secondary structure includes four short double-helical elements and three loops (D, anti-codon, and T loops). RNAcentral also lists the same sequence under 1 other name. The record is from RNAcentral. Lineage: Eukaryota; Fungi; Ascomycota; Sordariomycetes; Sordariales; Sordariaceae.
GUCACUUUGGCGGAGUGGUUAACGCGUUGCCCUGCUAAGGCAAUCCAUUCGUGGGCGCAGGUUCGAAUCCUGCAGGUGACG